CCUACGGGUGGCAGCAGUGGGGAAUAUUGGGCAAUGGGCGCAAGCCUGACCCAGCAACGCCGCGUGAAGGAAGAAGGCUUUCGGGUUGUAAACUUCUAUUCUCAGGGACGAAGAAAGUAACGGUACCUGAGGAAUAACCAACGGCUAACUACGUGCCAGCAGCCGCGGUAAUACGUAGGUGGCAAGCGUGAUCCGGAUUUAUUGGGUGUAAAGGGCGUGUAGGCGGGAGUGCAAGUCAGAUGUGAAAGCUCAGGGCUCAACCCUGGGCCUGCAUUUGAAACUGUGUAUCUUGAGUGCUGGAGAGGCAAGCGGAAUUCCGGGUGUAGCGGUGAAAUGCGUAGAUAUACGGAGGAACACCAGUGGCGAAGGCGGAUUGCUGGACAGUAACUGACGUUGAGGCGCGAAAGCGUGGGGAGCAAACAGGAUUAGAUACCCGAGUAGUC
This 443-nucleotide ribosomal RNA is filed under the name uncultured bacterium. Its description in RNAcentral is "partial 16S ribosomal RNA". It matches the Rfam family "Bacterial small subunit ribosomal RNA", at positions 338 to 795 of the family's 1533-position model. The record is from RNAcentral.